RNAcentral lists this ribosomal RNA (23 nucleotides) under Cortinarius sp. DAVFP 26069. RNAcentral's name for it is "partial 18S ribosomal RNA". The record is from RNAcentral. Lineage: Eukaryota; Fungi; Basidiomycota; Agaricomycetes; Agaricales; Cortinariaceae. RNAcentral also lists the same sequence under 2 other names.
GGUGACCUGCGGAGGGAUCAUUA